RNAcentral lists this non-coding RNA (23 nucleotides) under Arabidopsis thaliana (thale cress). The record is from RNAcentral. Lineage: Eukaryota; Viridiplantae; Streptophyta; Magnoliopsida; Brassicales; Brassicaceae.
UGUAACAGAUGGAUCGCUGCCUA